GGCAAAUCCCUCUUACCGCUGUUUGCUGGGGGUCAGGGCAGGAAGGUUCCUGUCGGGCUGCUCAAUUCUGACCAGAUCUAAAGGUUGUCUUCUGGGAGGAGCCAAGAUGGCCUAAUAGGAAAAGCUCCGGUCUACAGCUCCCAGCGUGAGUGACGCAGAAGACGGGUGAUUUCUGCAUUUCCAUCUGAGGUACCGGGUUCAUCUCACUAGGCAGUG
RNAcentral lists this long non-coding RNA (216 nucleotides) under Homo sapiens (human). RNAcentral describes it as "HSALNT0306726". Lineage: Eukaryota; Metazoa; Chordata; Mammalia; Primates; Hominidae. The record is from RNAcentral.